AUACGGGGGGGGCAAGCGUUAUUCGGAAUUACUGGGCGUAAAGGGCGCGUAGGCGGCCUGGUAAGUGAAAGGUGAAAUUCCUCGGCUCACCCGAGGAACUGCGUCUGAUACUGCCAUGCUUGAGUCCCGGAGAGGGUAGCGGAAUUCCCAGUGUAGCGGUGAAAUGCGUAGAUAUUGGGAGGAACACCAGUGGCGAAGGCGGCUACCUGGACGGGUACUGACGCUGAGGCGCGAAAGCGUGGGGAGCAAACAGGAUUAGAAACCCCGGUAGUCC
Molecule: ribosomal RNA, 274 nt
Filed under: uncultured bacterium
Lineage: Bacteria
Description: partial 16S ribosomal RNA
Rfam family: Bacterial small subunit ribosomal RNA
Source: RNAcentral